Molecule: ribosomal RNA, 863 nt
Filed under: uncultured bacterium
Lineage: Bacteria
Description: bacterial SSU rRNA
Rfam family: Bacterial small subunit ribosomal RNA
Source: RNAcentral
CAAGUCGAGCGGUAGAGAGAAGCUUGCUUCUCUUGAGAGCGGCGGACGGGUGAGUAAUGCCUAGGAAUCUGCCUGGUAGUGGGGGAUAACGUUCGGAAACGGACGCUAAUACCGCAUACGUCCUACGGGAGAAAGCAGGGGACCUUCGGGCCUUGCGCUAUCAGAUGAGCCUAGGUCGGAUUAGCUAGUUGGUGAGGUAAUGGCUCACCAAGGCUACGAUCCGUAACUGGUCUGAGAGGAUGAUCAGUCACACUGGAACUGAGACACGGUCCAGACUCCUACGGGAGGCAGCAGUGGGGAAUAUUGGACAAUGGGCGAAAGCCUGAUCCAGCCAUGCCGCGUGUGUGAAGAAGGUCUUCGGAUUGUAAAGCACUUUAAGUUGGGAGGAAGGGUUGUAGAUUAAUACUCUGCAAUUUUGACGUUACCGACAGAAUAAGCACCGGCUAACUCUGUGCCAGCAGCCGCGGUAAUACAGAGGGUGCAAGCGUUAAUCGGAAUUACUGGGCGUAAAGCGCGCGUAGGUGGUUUGUUAAGUUGGAUGUGAAAUCCCCGGGCUCAACCUGGGAACUGCAUUCAAAACUGACUGACUAGAGUAUGGUAGAGGGUGGUGGAAUUUCCUGUGUAGCGGUGAAAUGCGUAGAUAUAGGAAGGAACACCAGUGGCGAAGGCGACCACCUGGACUAAUACUGACACUGAGGUGCGAAAGCGUGGGGAGCAAACAGGAUUAGAUACCCUGGUAGUCCACGCCGUAAACGAUGUCAACUAGCCGUUGGAAGCCUUGAGCUUUUAGUGGCGCAGCUAACGCAUUAAGUUGACCGCCUGGGGAGUACGGCCGCAAGGUUAAAACUCAAAUGAAUUGACGG